Molecule: non-coding RNA, 31 nt
Filed under: Homo sapiens (human)
Lineage: Eukaryota; Metazoa; Chordata; Mammalia; Primates; Hominidae
Source: RNAcentral
UGGGUCUUAGAACUGACCCCUGGGUCAUUGA